GAUGAACGCUGGCGGCGUGCUUAACACAUGCAAGUCGAACGAUGAAGCCCAGCUUGCUGGGUGGAUUAGUGGCGAACGGGUGAGUAACACGUGAGUAACCUGCCCUUGACUCUGGGAUAAGCCUGGGAAACUGGGUCUAAUACUGGAUAUGACUUCUCAUCGCAUGGUGGGGGGUGGAAAGAUUUAUUGGUCUUGGAUGGACUCGCGGCCUAUCAGCUUGUUGGUGAGGUAAUGGCUCACCAAGGCGACGACGGGUAGCCGGCCUGAGAGGGUGACCGGCCACACCGGGACUGAGACACGGCCCAGACUCCUACGGGAGGCAGCAGUGGGGAAUAUUGCACAAUGGGCGCAAGCCUGAUGCAGCGACGCCGCGUGAGGGAUGACGGCCUUCGGGUUGUAAACCUCUUUCAGUAGGGAAGAAGCGAGAGUGACGGUACCUGCAGAAGAAGCGCCGGCUAACUACGUG
RNAcentral lists this ribosomal RNA (466 nucleotides) under uncultured bacterium. RNAcentral describes it as "partial 16S ribosomal RNA". It matches the Rfam family "Bacterial small subunit ribosomal RNA", at positions 28 to 507 of the family's 1533-position model. The record is from RNAcentral.